UGGGCUAUAGCUCAGCUGGGAGAGCGCUUGAAUGGCAUUCAAGAGGUCAGCGGUUCGAUCCCGCUUAGCUCCACCA
RNAcentral lists this transfer RNA (76 nucleotides) under Desulfolithobacter dissulfuricans. RNAcentral describes it as "Desulfobulbaceae bacterium GF1 tRNA-Ala". It matches the Rfam family "tRNA". From Rfam's summary of the family: Transfer RNA (tRNA) molecules are approximately 80 nucleotides in length. Their secondary structure includes four short double-helical elements and three loops (D, anti-codon, and T loops). Further hydrogen bonds mediate the characteristic L-shaped molecular structure. tRNAs have two regions of fundamental functional importance: the anti-codon, which is responsible for specific mRNA codon recognition, and the 3' end, to which the tRNAs corresponding amino acid is attached (by aminoacyl-tRNA synthetases). tRNAs cope with the degeneracy of the genetic code in two manners: having more than one tRNA (with a specific anti-codon) for a particular amino acid; and 'wobble' base-pairing, i.e. permitting non-standard base-pairing at the 3rd anti-codon position. Lineage: Bacteria; Pseudomonadati; Thermodesulfobacteriota; Desulfobulbia; Desulfobulbales; Desulfobulbaceae. The record is from RNAcentral.